RNAcentral lists this ribosomal RNA (484 nucleotides) under uncultured bacterium. Its description in RNAcentral is "partial 16S ribosomal RNA". It matches the Rfam family "Bacterial small subunit ribosomal RNA", at positions 30 to 507 of the family's 1533-position model. The record is from RNAcentral.
AUUGAACGCUGGCGGCAGGCCUAACACAUGCAAGUCGAGCGGAUGAAGGGAGCUUGCUCCUGGAUUCAGCGGCGGACGGGUGAGUAAUGCCUAGGAAUCUGCCUGGUAGUGGGGGAUAACGUCCGGAAACGGGCGCUAAUACCGCAUACGUCCUGAGGGAGAAAGUGGGGGAUCUUCGGACCUCACGCUAUCAGAUGAGCCUAGGUCGGAUUAGCUAGUUGGUGGGGUAAAGGCCUACCAAGGCGACGAUCCGUAACUGGUCUGAGAGGAUGAUCAGUCACACUGGAACUGAGAAACGGUCCAGACUCCUAAGGGAGGCAGCAGUGGGGAAUAUUGGACAAUGGGCGAAAGCCUGAUCCAGCCAUGCCGCGUGUGUGAAGAAGGUCUUCGGAUUGUAAAGCACUUUAAGUUGGGAGGAAGGGCAGUAAGUUAAUACCUUGCUGUUUUGACGUUACCAACAGAAUAAGCACCGGCUAACUUCGUG